ACGCGGCGGUGCUUACCACAUGCAGUCGAACGGCAGCGCGGGGCAACCUGGCGGCGAGUGGCGAACAGGUGAGUAAUAUAUCGGAACGUACCCUGGCAGUGGGGGAUAACCGUAGCGAAAGUUACGCUAAUACCGCAUACGAUCUAAGGAUGAAAGUGGGGGAUUCGCAAGGAACCUCAUGCUCCUGGAGUCGGCCGAUAUCUGAUUAGCUAGUUGGUAGGGUAAAAGCCUACCAAGGCAUCGAUCAGUAGCUGGUCUGAGAGGACUGAUCAGCCACACUGGGACUGAGACACGGCCCAGACUCCUACGGGAGGCAGCAGUGGGGAAUUUUGGACAAUGGGCGCAAGCCUGAUCCAGCCAUUCCGCGUGAGUGAUGAAGGCCUUCGGGUUGUAAACCGCUUUUGUCCGGAACGAAAAGGCGCCUCCUAAUACGGGGACGCUCUUGAGGUACCGGACGAAUAAGCACCGGCUAACUACGGUGCCAGCAGCCGGGUCAAUACGUAGGGUGCGAAGCGUUACAUCCGGAAUUUACUGGGGCGUAAAAGCGUGCGCCAGGCGGGUUCCGGCAAAAGUCUGAUGGUGAAAGCCCCCGGGGCUCGAC
Molecule: ribosomal RNA, 601 nt
Filed under: uncultured bacterium
Lineage: Bacteria
Description: bacterial SSU rRNA
Rfam family: Bacterial small subunit ribosomal RNA
Source: RNAcentral